This 3223-nucleotide long non-coding RNA is filed under the name Sus scrofa (pig). Its description in RNAcentral is "lncRNA (ENSSSCG00000060156.1)". Lineage: Eukaryota; Metazoa; Chordata; Mammalia; Artiodactyla; Suidae. The record is from RNAcentral.
UUUUUUUUUUUUUUUUUUUUUUUUUUUUGCUUUUUAGGGCCGCACCCAAGGCAUAUGGAGGUUCCCAGGCUAGGGGUCUAAUCAAAGCUACAGCUGCCAGCCUACACCACAACCACAGCAGUAUCAGAUCCGAGCCGCAUCUGCGACCUACACCACAGCUCAUCUCAAUGCUGGAUCCUUAACCCACUGAGUGAAACCAGGGAUCGAACCCUCAACCUCAUGGUUCCUAGUCGGAUACGUUUCCACUGCGCCACGAUGGGAAUUCCAUGGUUUUCCUUUACUUUCACACACUCCAGAUAAUUGUCAGUGUCCUAUGAAUCCAUCUCAUUUGCACUGGUGUGGCACACACAGACUCUUUCAAAACCUUAUCAUAUCUGCACAGGCUAAUCCAGGCUCCUGGAGUCCACACUAUGUUGCAUACACUUGUGAGAUCUAUCCCAAAUGGCCUGCCAAUUUUCUAACAAAGUUGCCAAAUAAAACACCAGAAUGAAAUUAACAACACACAUCGAGUCUUAUUUGGCAUUUUUGGAUAGAGAAAUAUCUUAGAAUACCUCUCCAAGCUACAAAAUUGUUGCUUUCUUGGGAGUUCCUGUUGUGGCGCAGUGGUUAACGAAUCCGACUAGGAACCAUGAGGUUUCAGGUUCGAUCCCUGGCCUUGCUCAGUGGGUUAAGGAUCUGGCAUUGCUGUGAGCUGUGGUCGUAGACUCGGCUCGGAUCCUGCGCUGCUGUGGCUCUGGCGUAGGCCGGUGGCUACAGCUCUGAUUAGACCCCUAGCCUGGGAACCUCCAUAUGCCGUGAGAGUGGCCCAAGAAAUGCCAAAAAAGACACACACACAAAAAAAUUGUUGCUUUCUUUCCACAAUGCUGGGCAAAUUUUAUUAUAGUAAUAAUGCAGUAUCUUCACCUUGUCAAAGUCUUUCAUAUAUUUGGAGGAAGAGCAAAAAAAAAAAAAUUACUCUUUUCUUGCUAACAGAAGUUUUAAUUAGAAAGAAAAGACCACCAGAAAUAAUAUCUUUAGUAUAGUAUAUUUAUAGGAAUGCAUAACUUGUGAGAUGUACAUUUUGAAGUUUCAUCCAUAACUUAUAACAUUUACUGUAGUAAUAAUAACAAGACAGCAGAUCAUCACUUUACAACAUUACACAUGAGUGAUUUUGACUUACAAAUAAAAUAUUUACAACCUACCUUUACAAAACGACGUUGUGUGCAUACAAAAUGAACAACUGCAGAAAAAUUUAAAAAUAAUGAGACAACCAAAAACCCAGAAGAUACACUUAAGGCAGACCAGCAAGACACUGAAAUAAUUAAGGCUGUGGAAUUCUUCUGCACCUUGAAAAUAUAGAGCUAUUUAUCAAUACUGUGGAGUGAUUUUAAAUCAACUGUUACAAGCGUUAUGGAAGUAUGUACUUAUAUGUAUAUGUGUAAUGGUCCCUAUGGGGAAACCUGUCCACUUAUAGAUAAGGCCCUUUAUCUGAAUGGUCAGAGAAGCCCACACUCUCAAAAGACUUGGUGGGGAGGGGUCACUCAAAACUAAGGGGUGCCAAUGAAGUUCGCAAACCAACAAUUAUUAAUUCAAACAAAGAUUCUUCUGACUCCAGGUAAACAGAAUAACUUAAAUGAUGGCCACAUUAUGUUUCAAGCUUUGUAGACUUCAGAAUACAGCAAAUAAUUCCCCAAUGAGUAGAAUCUAACUCUCCCCAUCAGCCCUAAUGGUUUUGAAUGGCUCUCAAUGGUUUUCUAAUAGAAAAACUGACCCACCUGGACUGUCUUCAAAUGGAUAGAUUUCUGCAUAUGAGCCAUAACAUAUACAUACAUAUUAUACACUAUAUACAUGUACAGAUGUACAUAUAUCCAUAUUUUCCAACAGUUUGCACUUUGAUCACUAUUGUGCUCUGACUAGGAUCUCAUUCUGAAGAAUAUGUCUAGUUUUUUUUCACAGUCUUCACAUUUGUCUUAACUACUAGUUUUACUCACCUUCCCCAUAGACUAGGCUGAAGUUUGGCAGAAACAGAAGUAAAAGCACCAGGGUCAAAAAAAAUCAAACACAGAGAGGACAGAUAUGGCUUAAGUUCAUAAGAGAAGAUGUAUGUUUCGUUAACUUCAAAUUCAUAACCACAGUCUGAGAUCAAGGUAACAGUCCCCGUUAAGCCUACAGGAUGUGGAUUCAUUUCUUGAUAGAAGUCAGGGCAUUGAUGGAACUUUUAUACUAGCUAUUCCUGGGCUAGGAAAUUUGCUUGCUUAAAUUAAGCUUCAGGAUUGAGAUUCUGAAAAUUUCUAUUUGCACGCUUUUCCAACACCCUCCAUUUUCUCAGUCAUCCUCACCAUCCAAAAUAAGUUAUCUGAAUAAACAGUUAAUCUCGAUCAUUUGAAUAAAAACUAAAUCUGACCCCAUUUUAGAAUCUCCCAGCCAACAAGCUGACAGGAAACUCAAUAGCCUAUGAGUAUAAUUUCAGGCUUUCCAUCCAUGUCCAUUAAAGAGGAAAAUUCAUCUUAGAGUACUUGCUUUUUCCUCUCCUCUAACUUCUACAUAUAUGGAAAAUGAGGAAGAAAUGAUUUUUAGAGAAAACAUGGCCUGUGAUAUUUCUGUGUUCUCUUUUCGUAUAGAUUUCUCACGUGAAUAAUAUUCUCUAGUAGAAACAUCUAACACUAUGCACAAAUUUCAGCCCUUUUAAACUCUCUAAAAUUAAUGAAACAACUCAGAGCCUUAUAGUCUUUAGAAAAUAGGUAUCAAGACGGUAGCUCCCCUUUUCUUAACGGAGUAUGUGUAAACCUUAUCUUUCCUAACCCUACCCUGGGUUUAGUCAUUCAUUUCCAAACAAUCCCUAGAUUUUAAAUAGUUAAGAAAAACCGUAAUGCAAAUAAAUCCAUGGAAAGCUCCCACAUUAUGUUUGCCUAACCAAGACUCCACAGAGACGCUACACAGGAAAUAAAGAAAUAAGGCCCACAUUCCUCAAAACUGAAUGAGGAAGUGGUGAGUUGGCCCCACUAUAGAGACUCUUAUGUUUGAAAUAUUUUCUCCUUUAUCAAGCUCAUGGGACGAAGGUUUCGUUAAUACACAGAAAUAACCACCAUCCAGUGUAUAACAUAUUUGCCCCUCAUAUUCUCGCAAAUCUAAAUUUCCAUGUUUUUCCACAUAGGCAAGGAAAAGGUAAUGACUAACUCCUGGGCAGUAAAUCAUAUAGACGAUCAGAAAGCAAAUAGGUGACUCCAGAAACACCUAGCAAUCU